Molecule: ribosomal RNA, 1119 nt
Filed under: Triticum aestivum (bread wheat)
Lineage: Eukaryota; Viridiplantae; Streptophyta; Magnoliopsida; Poales; Poaceae
Description: partial small subunit ribosomal RNA
Source: RNAcentral
AUGCAAAUCCUCUCGCGCUCGAUUACUCGAAGCGUCAGCAGCGUUGCCUCUGCUCUGCCUCGAUGGUGGUUUCCAGCACUUGCGCGAGGAGAUGCUCCACUCAAGGCUUUAGUACAUCUGUUGGGAAGUGAGAAGAUUGCACUGAAUUGGCCACGCCAAUUCUCCAUACAUGGCGUGGAUGAGACGAAGACUAAUAAUGCAGCAGAGGACAGUGACCCGACGUUAAAGACUAGUUUAAGUGAAGAUAUAUGUUACAUGCCGAUAAUUUCAGGGAGCAGCCACCGUGAUGGUGCUAUAUACAAGAGAGCGGCUUAUUGGGAACAUAAUUACUUUUUUGAUAUCUCUGACCGUACAGAAACUCGGUUGGAGCCAGCUCGUGCAUACGAUAUACCACGUAACAUGAUGCAGAUCUUUUCAAUGAAGUUAGCUAAAGCUCCUAUCAAUAGUGGCUCAAUACAGUUAUAUGGAUAUAUAGCAGCACGUGAUGAAGUUGAUCUAAGACUAAAUUAUGUUUUCAAUCGUACCAGGGAUGAUCCCAUCAUCGUGCAGCAGGGUUUUCUCAUAGAAAUGAACGGCCCUAAGAGAGCCAUCCUGUUAAUAUUUGAUGUGCUACUUGAGUUUGACAUGAGGAUCAAGAAUGGGGAGAAUGAAGAGGAUGAUUUACAGCUGAUUGAUGGAAUCUCAGAAUUUGACGGUUUACGCGUGUCAUGGAGACCACACCAGGUUCGCAUUGGUGGAAAUUGUGGUGCAGUUGAUACGUCUUUUGCACUUGUUCACAACUCAGUCGAGGCCGCAGUAGAAGUUAUCAUAUCUCAAGUCCAGACUGGCUUUGAUUUAUCUUUCAGUUCUACGAUUGAUCUUCUGGAGAUGAAUAAAGAAUUCCAGCUCUUCAGUGGAAAUAUUAGUGAGUCCUGUGGCUUAGGAAGCUUUGUGAUUGCUGUCACAGAGGAUACACUGAUGCAUUUGAAGUUCAAGGUUGAUCACAAAGGCUGUAACAGUAAUAUUGAAAGCAAUUGUUCCUUCAAAGCUAAGUUAAAUGGACAAGCCAGCCAUCAACUAAAUCUCGAGACUGCCUCAAUUUUAGUUAAGGUGGCUUGGGCUGUGUUGCCUGCAAGCUAU